UGAAGAUCAGUCACCUUCCCAAUUAAACGGAAACCACCACAGUUCUAUCCUCCGUGAAAUUUUGCUUAGAAUGAUGACAUUACACGUCGAUCAGUCAACCGCCGGGAUUUAUGGAGUGCUUAAUGUGUGCAGAGCACUGGGCUAGUCGCACCGCGUGCCGAGCAGAGCAGUAAGUGCCGGGGAGGGCGCAAUCCAACCGUAGACUGCGAGCCCGUUAUAGGGCAGGGAUGGUCUCUGUUGCUCUGGUGCUCUGCACAUCGUAAGUGCUCGAUCAAUAGGAGCGAAUGAAUGAAUGAGUGGGCCUAUUCGUUCCCCGUCCCCCGGGAGCUUAAGGUCUGGAGGGGGAGAGGGACCCUAGAAAAAAUGAUGGAUGCACGCCCAAGUGCUGCGGGGAAAACGCUUUAUCCCUCGAAGAUGCUCUGUGCGCCGGGGGUAAGGCGUGAGGACGGUACCCCCGUAACCCUUCCCGCUGCGUCCCUAGCGCUUAGCAGAGGGCUCCGCACAGAGGAAGCGCCCAACAAAUCCCAUUGUAGGGAGGAAUGAGGAGACGACGAUCAGGGUGUGAUUCAAAUCCACGACACGGCCUUCCUGCUGUGUCAUUUGAGCCAGGCCCCCCCCCCCCACCUCCCUCCCCUCCACCGCCGGAGAGGAAAGGCAGGACGACGGCAGCAACGUCAUGGCACGGUGGCACUUCUCCUCGGGCAUCUCUGCCCCUCCGCUGGCGCCGGCGGAGGAGCCCGUGGGUGCGGGAAGGGGAGAGGGGAGGUGGGUGGAGGUGGGGGAAGGAGACACCCAAGCUGGACUCCCCUCCCCGCGAUUGACACCCCCAUCGGCCAGGCCCCGGCUUUCCGAGGGGAGCGCUCCAGCCAAUGGGCACCGUGCGGGGCGGGUUUUGGAGCUGGGAGGUGCUGCUACUUAGCAUCGCCGCUCUGGUCGGGGCUGGCCGGGGGCGGGGGAGUCCAGUCCAGAGCCGGAGAGGACGUCCAGGGGCGGGGAGAGCGGCCCGCAGAGGACCGGACCGGGGUGCACCGGACAGGGGCGCAUCCGACAGGGGCGCAUUGGAGAGGGGCGCACCGGAGAGGGGCGCGCCUGGCACCGAAGCCACAGCUCUGGGGGGGCGGAGGCACCCAAGCAGCGGCACCCAAGCAGCAGCAGAAAGAGCCGGCUGAAAGGCCAGGGAGGACUCCUUCACCUCCGCAGGACCGAUGGGGACAGGAAGACUUUAAAGGAGUUUGGCGUUGCCAGGAGCGGGGAGAUCACCGAUCCCGG
RNAcentral lists this long non-coding RNA (1269 nucleotides) under Ornithorhynchus anatinus (platypus). RNAcentral's name for it is "lncRNA (ENSOANG00000036861.1)". The record is from RNAcentral. Lineage: Eukaryota; Metazoa; Chordata; Mammalia; Monotremata; Ornithorhynchidae.